RNAcentral lists this ribosomal RNA (218 nucleotides) under uncultured bacterium. RNAcentral describes it as "partial 16S ribosomal RNA". It matches the Rfam family "Bacterial small subunit ribosomal RNA", at positions 28 to 245 of the family's 1533-position model. The record is from RNAcentral.
GAUCAACGCUGGCGGCGUGCCUAAUGCAUGCAAGUCGCACGGGGUGGCCUCGGUGGCUUACGUGGCGGACGGGUGAGGAACACGUGGGUAACCUGCCCGGUGGUGGGGCGUAGCCUUCGGAACGGAGGGUAAGUUCCGCAUAAGCUGGUCACUCGAGUGGGAGUGGUCGAGGAAAGACGCGCGAGCGCGCCGCCGGAGGGGUCGUGCGUCCGAUUAGC